GGGGGAUAUUGCGCAAUGGGGGCAACCCUGACGCAGCAACGCCGCGUGAAGGAUGAAGGUUUUCGGAUUGUAAACUUCUUUUAUUAAGGACGAAACUUGACGGUACUUAAUGAAUAAGCUCCGGCUAACUACGUGCCAGCAGCCGCGGUAAUACGUAGGGAGCAAGCGUUGUCCGGAUUUACUGGGUGUAAAGGGUGCGUAGGCGGCUUUGCAAGUCAGAUGUGAAAUCUAUGGGCUCAACCCAUAAACUGCAUUUGAAACUGUAGAGCUUGAGUGAAGUAGAGGCAGGCGGAAUUCCCCGUGUAGCGGUGAAAUGCGUAGAGAUGGGGAGGAACACCAGUGGCGAAGGCGGCCUGCUGGGCUUUAACUGACGCUGAGGCACGAAAGCGUGGGUAGCAAACAGGAUUAGAUACCCUGGUAGUCCACGCUGUAAACGAUGAUUACUAGGUGUGGGGGGUCUGACCCCUUCCGUGCCGGAGUUAACACAAUAAGUAAUCCACCUGGGGAGUACGGCCGCAAGGUUGAAACUCAAAGGAAUUGACGGGGGCCCGCACAAGCAGUGGAGUAUGUGGUUUAAUUCGAAGCAACGCGAAGAACCUUACCAGGUCUUGACAUCCAACUAACGAAGUAGAGAUACAUUAGGUGCCCUUCGGGGAAAGUUGAGACAGGUGGUGCAUGGUUGUCGUCAGCUCGUGUCGUGAGAUGUUGGGUUAAGUCCCGCAACGAGCGCAGCCCUUGCUAUUAGUUGCUACGCAAGAGCACUCUAAUAGGACUGCCGUUGACAAAACGGAGGAAGGUGGGGACGACGUCAAAUCAUCAUGCCCCUUAUGACCUGGGCUACACACGUACUACAAUGGAUGUUAACAGAGGGAAGCAAGACAGCGAUGUGGAGCAAACCCCUAAAAACAUUCUCAGUUCAGAUUGCAGGCUGCAACCCGCCUGCAUGAAGAUGGAAUUGCUAGUAAUCGCGGAUCAGCAUGCCGCGGUGAAUACGUUCCCG
RNAcentral lists this ribosomal RNA (1000 nucleotides) under uncultured organism. RNAcentral's name for it is "bacterial SSU rRNA". It matches the Rfam family "Bacterial small subunit ribosomal RNA", at positions 356 to 1376 of the family's 1533-position model. The record is from RNAcentral.